This 499-nucleotide ribosomal RNA is filed under the name Nucula sulcata. RNAcentral describes it as "partial 16S ribosomal RNA". It matches the Rfam family "Bacterial large subunit ribosomal RNA", at positions 1850 to 2600 of the family's 2925-position model. The record is from RNAcentral. Lineage: Eukaryota; Metazoa; Mollusca; Bivalvia; Nuculida; Nuculidae.
AGUUCACGCCUGCUCAAUGAUUUGCGGGAUUGAAUAGCCGCGGUACCCUGACCGUGCAAAGGUAGCAUAAUCAUUUGCUCUAUAAUUGGGAGCUGGGAUGAAGGGUGAGACGAGGGCUUGGCUGUCUUUCUAUUUUUAAUUGUAAAUUAAUUUUUAUGUGAAGAGGCAUAAAUUGUUGAAAAGGACGAGAAGACCCUAUUGAGCUUAAGUUUAAGUGUUUAGAGUAAGAUGGGCGUAUAAAUUAUAUAGCUUAUGCGUCAACGGCUUUAGUUGGGGAGACUGAGGAAUAUAAAUGAAUUUCCUUAAUACUUAUUGAAAUUAUAGUUUAAUGACCCACUAUAGGUAGUGAUUAGAAGAUAUAGUUACCAUAGGGAUAACAGCGUAAUUUUUUCUGAGAGUUCUAAUCGAAGGGGAAGAUUGCGACCUCGAUGUUGGAUUAAGAGUUCUUAGGGGGGCAGGCAUUCCUAAAGUAAGUCUGUUCGACUUUUAAAAUCUUACA